UGAACGCUGGCGGUAGGCCUAACACAUGCAAGUCGAACGGCAGCACAGUAAGAGCUUGCUCUUACGGGUGGCGAGUGGCGGACGGGUGAGGAAUACAUCGGAAUCUACUUUUUCGUGGGGGAUAACGUAGGGAAACUUACGCUAAUACCGCAUACGACCUACGGGUGAAAGCAGGGGAUCUUCGGACCUUGCGCGAUUGAAUGAGCCGAUGUCGGAUUAGCUAGUUGGCGGGGUAAAGGCCCACCAAGGCGACGAUCCGUAGCUGGUCUGAGAGGAUGAUCAGCCACACUGGAACUGAGACACGGUCCAGACUCCUACGGGAGGCAGCAGUGGGGAAUAUUGGACAAUGGGCGCAAGCCUGAUCCAGCCAUACCGCGUGGGUGAAGAAGGCCUUCGGGUUGUAAAGCCCUUUUGUUGGGAAAGAAAAGCAGCAGGUUAAUACCCCGCUGUCCUGACGGUACCCAAAGAAUAAGCACCGGCUAACUUCGUG
This 490-nucleotide ribosomal RNA is filed under the name uncultured bacterium. RNAcentral's name for it is "partial 16S ribosomal RNA". It matches the Rfam family "Bacterial small subunit ribosomal RNA", at positions 30 to 507 of the family's 1533-position model. The record is from RNAcentral.